AUUUCACUUAGCAUAAUGUUCUCCAGGUCCAUCCAUGCUGCUGCAAAGGAACAAGGAAUUAGGACAGAUCACCGGCAGAUACGGAACUCUGUGGGAUUCCCAGAUGUUGCUCAAAUCGAUCCAUUUCUCCUACGUCCCCUCUCCGAGUCCAGGCCUCCUCGCGUCUUGCCUACGUGCUGUUCUCGCUGCGUUUGCGCUCAGGUCUCAUGGUGGCCAUUGCCCCCGGGUCACCGAUAGCCAGGCCCCCUCUGCUCCGGGCACCGGGGAGGCUCGCCUUCCCCACACCUGGGAGACGUGCCCGGCCGCCUGGAAGCACUUGAGCGGCUGUUCUCUGCCCUGUCCACGGGACCACCAACCUUCCCAACGGCAGGGCCGGGCUGGGGGAGUGAGGACAAUGCGCCCUCGGAGCCCGUGACAAAUGUCAGCGAGUGAGGAAUAAACCUUGUUUGUUUUGA
This is a long non-coding RNA of Eptesicus fuscus (big brown bat), 455 nucleotides long. RefSeq lists it as uncharacterized. The transcript has 2 exons. The record is from RefSeq and is a predicted model, not a curated record. NCBI's taxonomy places the organism in Eukaryota, Metazoa, Chordata, Mammalia, Chiroptera, Vespertilionidae.